Molecule: ribosomal RNA, 328 nt
Filed under: uncultured eukaryote
Lineage: Eukaryota
Description: partial 18S ribosomal RNA
Rfam family: Eukaryotic small subunit ribosomal RNA
Source: RNAcentral
CCCUUAGAUGUCCUGGGCCGCACGCGCGUUACACUGAUGCAUUCAACGAGCUUAUAACCUUGGCCGAGAGGCCUGGGCAAUCUUGUUAACGUGCAUCGUGAUAGGGAUAGAUUAUUGAAAUUAUUAAUCUUGAACGAGGAAUUCCUAGCAAACGCAGAUCAUCAAUCUGCAUUGAUUACGUCCCUGCCCUUUGUACACACCGCCCGUCGCACCUACCGAUUGGAUGGUCCGGUGAAGCCUCGGGAUUGUGGUUCUUGCCGCUUUAUUGUGGCGUGACCGCGAGAACUUGUCUAAACCUUAUCAUCUAGAGGAAGGUGAAGUCGUAACA